Molecule: long non-coding RNA, 1004 nt
Filed under: Eucalyptus grandis
Lineage: Eukaryota; Viridiplantae; Streptophyta; Magnoliopsida; Myrtales; Myrtaceae
Description: long non-coding RNA (EGRA_LNC001244)
Source: RNAcentral
GUUUCUCCUCUCUCUCUCUCCAUUCAAACUUCUGCCUCGUCUCUCCUCUCACUUUUCAUCGAUCGCUGCGUCGUCUUCUCCAUCCAUCAAGCAGCACGAAGCCCUCUCUCUCUCUAAAAACUCUCCCUCUCUCUAGCUUCCAAGAGCCCUCGCCUGUCGCCGUUGCCGUCGCCGUCGCCUCCAGGGGCCCCGUCGGCGGCUACGCUCCUCCAAGAGCCCCCGCCGGUCGCGGCUGCUGGUUCCCGAGCUAAGAUCCGCCUCCGCCUCCCUCCGCCAUCGCCUCUGCCGGAGUAUGUUCUUUUUUUGGCUAUUACUUCGAGCCUCUGCCGGAGAAUUAUUACUGGCUGGGUUCAAAAGGAACGAGUUCGGGUUUCCUGUCUAACCGUGGCCAAGUUUUGAUUUUUCUUUUCUUUUUUUUCUUUUUUUACGCUCGCUGACUUUCGUGAACAUGGGAUUUCUUCUCUCUCUCUCUCUCUCUCUCUUUUUGUUUUGUUUUGUUUUUUGUUUUUUCUGGGUUUUUAGAUUUUGAGUUGUCUAUGGUUGUUAAUGUCGUUUGUUUUGCAAUGCAGUCGUAAUUAAGAUGGACUCGUAAUCAGUCGCUGGAGCAUCGUGGAGGUUGAGCAAUUCCAUUAGGUGCUCACGCUUUCCUGUGUUGUGUUUUCUUUUGCCAUGAUGAUUCCCGAACUGGGUUUGCUUCAUUUGAUGUUCUUUUAUUUUCUCGAAUGAUAUCGUUGGGAAUCCCAUGUUGUGUCGUUUGGUGCAUCUUGUGGAGUGUUGGGUGUUCAGGAUGUCGAACCUCUCUGGCAUCGACUUAUUACUUAGAGUGCGUUGCGAAGCUUUAGUUUAAUCUUGUGGAAUUGGAUAAUUUCUAUAGUGGAGUAAAGAGCAUUCUAUCGUCUGUGAUUAUGGUUACGGCAGAGAAUUAGUUUCUCUCAGAUUAAACUGGUGGACUGCAAGAUGAUGUUAUUUCUGGAUAUGAAAUUUUCUGUUGAGUUUAGUCCGGG